RNAcentral lists this ribosomal RNA (468 nucleotides) under uncultured bacterium. RNAcentral's name for it is "partial 16S ribosomal RNA". It matches the Rfam family "Bacterial small subunit ribosomal RNA", at positions 28 to 507 of the family's 1533-position model. The record is from RNAcentral.
GACGAACGCUGGCGGCGUGCUUAACACAUGCAAGUCGAACGGAAAGGCCCUGCUUUUGUGGGGUGCUCGAGUGGCGAACGGGUGAGUAACACGUGAGUAACCUGCCCUUGACUUUGGGAUAACUUCAGGAAACUGGGGCUAAUACCGGAGAGGAGCUCCUGCUGCAUGGUGGUGGUUGGAAAGUUUCGGCGGUUGGGGAUGGACUCGCGGCUUAUCAGCUUGUUGGUGGGGUAGUGGCUUACCAAGGCUUUGACGGGUAGCCGGCCUGAGAGGGUGACCGGCCACAUUGGGACUGAGAUACGGCCCAGACUCCUACGGGAGGCAGCAGUGGGGAAUAUUGCACAAUGGGCGGAAGCCUGAUGCAGCAACGCCGCGUGCGGGAUGACGGCCUUCGGGUUGUAAACCGCUUUCGCCUGUGACGAAGCGUGAGUGACGGUAAUGGGUAAAGAAGCACCGGCUAACUACGUG